RNAcentral lists this transfer RNA (89 nucleotides) under Desulfobacterales bacterium. RNAcentral's name for it is "tRNA-Ser". It matches the Rfam family "tRNA". Rfam says of the family: Transfer RNA (tRNA) molecules are approximately 80 nucleotides in length. Their secondary structure includes four short double-helical elements and three loops (D, anti-codon, and T loops). Further hydrogen bonds mediate the characteristic L-shaped molecular structure. tRNAs have two regions of fundamental functional importance: the anti-codon, which is responsible for specific mRNA codon recognition, and the 3' end, to which the tRNAs corresponding amino acid is attached (by aminoacyl-tRNA synthetases). tRNAs cope with the degeneracy of the genetic code in two manners: having more than one tRNA (with a specific anti-codon) for a particular amino acid; and 'wobble' base-pairing, i.e. permitting non-standard base-pairing at the 3rd anti-codon position. Lineage: Bacteria; Pseudomonadati; Thermodesulfobacteriota; Desulfobacteria; Desulfobacterales. The record is from RNAcentral.
GGAGAGAUGCCGGAGUGGUCGAACGGGGCGGUCUCGAAAACCGUUGUGCGCUAUGCGCACCGAGGGUUCGAACCCCUCUCUCUCCGCAA